UGGACAAUUACUUCUGGGAGCCAAGUCUGU
Molecule: non-coding RNA, 30 nt
Filed under: Mus musculus (house mouse)
Lineage: Eukaryota; Metazoa; Chordata; Mammalia; Rodentia; Muridae
Source: RNAcentral